Molecule: non-coding RNA, 124 nt
Organism: Aspergillus ellipticus CBS 707.79
Lineage: Eukaryota; Fungi; Ascomycota; Eurotiomycetes; Eurotiales; Aspergillaceae
Source: the annotation of a GenBank genome assembly
GGCAACGUGCCCGAGUGGUUAAGGGGAGAGACUCGAACUACGGUCCGUUGACUUCCACUCACGUGACUACUAGAAUUGCAAUCUCUUGGGUUCGCCCGCGCGUGUUCAAAUCACGUCGUUGUCG